Molecule: ribosomal RNA, 84 nt
Filed under: Escherichia coli
Lineage: Bacteria; Pseudomonadati; Pseudomonadota; Gammaproteobacteria; Enterobacterales; Enterobacteriaceae
Also listed under: 17 other names
Description: partial 23S ribosomal RNA
Rfam family: Bacterial large subunit ribosomal RNA (bases 1-72)
Source: RNAcentral
UGAUAGGCCGGGUGUGUAAGCGCAGCGAUGCGUUGAGCUAACCGGUACUAAUGAACCGUGAGGCUUAACCUUACAACGCCGAAG